GUCAUCAGUCCCGAUUUCCCCUCACCCAAUGGUGCUUUUUCUUGAUCAACCCACAUUAAUUCUCCUCUAGGGUUAAGCCGGAGUCAGAUUUUCUUUAAUUGCAGGGAAAGAUGAGAAGAAAAGGUGGGGUUGAGAUGUUCUUGUUCCUGUGGCAGCAGUGGUAAUCUGAUCAGAUCAUCAUCAGGCCCAAUAUGCUUCUAGGGAUUGGCAAAUCCCCACCCACUAUAAAUACCAUCCCAAGAUCAUCCUUCUCUUCCAACUCCAUCCUCUCUCUCCUCUCUCUUUCUCUGCCUCUCCUUUUGCCUAUUCACUUUCUUUUCGACCAGACACUUUCUGUUGCUCUCUUUUGAUUGAUGGGGUUCGGUUCAUAAGAAUCUCUUCUCCUUCUCUUUUUUCUUCUCUCUCUUGGAGCCUUGAUGGGUUUGUCGUGGAAUGGCCCUGUUUGUGUUCUUCCACAGCUUUCUUGAACUGCAUGGUUAUAAUUGGAGAGAUGUGAGGAGAAUUAGAGGAGACCCAUCUUCUCUUUUUUCUUUUUUCUUGUCCUCUUCUUCUUGUGCGGUUCAAUAAAGCUGUGGGAAGAUGCAGAGAGGGUCAAGAAGAAAAAAAGGCACAGAUGUUCUUGUGCAGGAUCUGUGUGAUUUCUUGAGAUUUUUUUUGUGCGGUUACACAUGCUUUUGUUUUGCAUCUGCAACUUCAUGGAUUACGGUCAGUAUGUUCAGCACUGUGGGAAAGACAAACUAGUUAAAUGACUCAUCAGUCCAUGGCCAUCAGUCAAAAUCUUUAUGUGAAGAUGAAAGUGGCCAAAUUCUUUUGAAUUUUAAUGAAGUUCCUUGCCAUUUGAAAUGGUUGAGCCGUGCAUGGUCUUGCCAAUGUGGAGCGAGAUGAUAUCCCCAUUUUACCUUUCUGGUUUUCGUCACGAAGCAGAUCAAUUUCAGUUUCACUUUUUUGCUCCCUGAAUUCAUUAGUUUUGUCUCAUUGACCAUGUCUGAUUAAUCACCCUGCCUGAAAUCAUAUCUUGGAAUAUUUAGGUCAAGAUUUGUUCAGAUGGGAGUUUAAUUGUUUAGCUAAUCUUAAGUCGCAGUCUGUUUUGAAAUGCCACAAUUCUUUA
This is a long non-coding RNA of Syzygium oleosum, 1108 nucleotides long. RefSeq lists it as uncharacterized. The record is from RefSeq and is a predicted model, not a curated record. NCBI's taxonomy places the organism in Eukaryota, Viridiplantae, Streptophyta, Magnoliopsida, Myrtales, Myrtaceae. The transcript has 3 exons.